CCUACGGGAGGCAGCAGUGGGGAAUAUUGGACAAUGGGCGCAAGCCUGAUCCAGCCAUGCCGCGUGAGUGAUGAAGGCCCUAGGGUUGUAAAGCUCUUUCGCACGCGACGAUAAUGACGGUAGCGUGAGAAGAAGCCCCGGCUAACUUCGUGCCAGCAGCCGCGGUAAUACGAAGGGGGCUAGCGUUGUUCGGAAUCACUGGGCGUAAAGGGCGCGUAGGCGGGUCUUUAAGUCGGGGGUGAAAGCCUGUGGCUCAACCACAGAAUGGCCUUCGAUACUGGGGACCUUGAGACCGGAAGAGGUGAGUGGAACUGCGAGUGUAGAGGUGAAAUUCGUAGAUAUUCGCAAGAACACCAGUGGCGAAGGCGGCUCACUGGUCCGGGUCUGACGCUGAGGCGCGAAAGCGUGGGGAGCAAACAGGAUUAGAUACCCGAGUAGUC
This 440-nucleotide ribosomal RNA is filed under the name uncultured bacterium. RNAcentral's name for it is "bacterial SSU rRNA". It matches the Rfam family "Bacterial small subunit ribosomal RNA", at positions 338 to 795 of the family's 1533-position model. The record is from RNAcentral.